RNAcentral lists this ribosomal RNA (162 nucleotides) under Acinetobacter sp. ANC 4169. RNAcentral describes it as "partial 23S ribosomal RNA". It matches the Rfam family "Bacterial large subunit ribosomal RNA", at positions 1 to 156 of the family's 2925-position model. The record is from RNAcentral. Lineage: Bacteria; Pseudomonadati; Pseudomonadota; Gammaproteobacteria; Moraxellales; Moraxellaceae.
GUUGUAUAGUCAAGUAAUUAAGUGCAUGUGGUGGAUGCCUUGGCAGUCAGAGGCGAUGAAAGACGUAAUAGCCUGCGAUAAGCUCCGGGGAGGCGGCAAAUAUCCUGUGAUCCGGAGAUUUCUGAAUGGGGAAACCCACUUACCAUAAGGUAGGUAUCGCAA